RNAcentral lists this ribosomal RNA (500 nucleotides) under uncultured bacterium. RNAcentral describes it as "bacterial SSU rRNA". It matches the Rfam family "Bacterial small subunit ribosomal RNA", at positions 29 to 523 of the family's 1533-position model. The record is from RNAcentral.
AUUGAACGCUGGCGGCGUGCUUAACACAUGCAAGUCGAGCGGUAACGCGGGGGCAACCCUGGCGACGAGCGGCGAACGGGUGCGUAAUGCAUGGGAAUCUGCCUGGUAGUGGGGAAUAACCCGGGGAAACUCGGGCUAAUGCCGCAUACGACCUACGGGUGAAAGCGGGGGACCGUAAGGCCUCGCGCUAUCAGAUGAGCCCAUGUCGGAUUAGCUAGUUGGUAGGGUAACGGCCUACCAAGGCGACGAUCCGUAGCUGGUCUGAGAGGACGGCCAGCCACACUGGGACUGAGACACGGCCCAGACUCCUACGGAGGCAGCAGUGGGGAAUAUUGGACAAUGGGGGAAACCCUGAUCCAGCGACGCCGCGUGUGUGAAGAAGGCCUGCGGGUUGUAAAGCACUUUCGGUGGGAACGAAAGUAUGUCGGGUCAAUACCCCGGCAGGCUGACGUUACCCAAUGAAGAAGCACCGGCUAACUCUGUGCCAGCAACCGCGGUAA